ACUCCUACGGGAGGCAGCAGUAGGGAAUCUUCCACAAUGGGCGCAAGCCUGAUGGAGCAACACCGCGUGAGUGAAGAAGGGUUUCGGCUCGUAAAGCUCUGUUGUUAAAGAAGAACACGUAUGAGAGUAACUGUUCAUACGUUGACGGUUAUUUAACCAGAAAGUCACGGCUAACUACGUGCCAGCAGCCGCGGUAAUACGUAGGUGGCAAGCGUUAUCCGGAUUUAUUGGGCGUAAAGAGAGUGCAGGUCGGUUUUCUAAGUCUGAUGUGAAAGCCUUCGGCUUAACCGGAGAAGUGCAUCGGAAACUGGAUAACUUGAGUGCAGAAGAGGUAGUGGAACUCCAUGUGUAGCGGUGGAAUGCG
Molecule: ribosomal RNA, 364 nt
Filed under: uncultured bacterium
Lineage: Bacteria
Description: bacterial SSU rRNA
Rfam family: Bacterial small subunit ribosomal RNA
Source: RNAcentral